UACGGGGGGAGCAAGCGUUGUUCGGAUUUACUGGGCGUAAAGGGCGCGUAGGCGGCGUGACAAGUCACUUGUGAAAUCUCCGGGCUUAACUCGGAACGGUCAAGUGAUACUGUCGUGCUAGAGUACAGAAGGGGCAACUGGAAUUCUCGGUGUAGCGGUGAAAUGCGUAGAGAUCAGGAGGAACACCCGUGGCGAAGGCGGCACGCUGGGCCGGCCCUGACGCUGAGGCGCGAAAGCGUGGGGAGCGAACGGG
RNAcentral lists this ribosomal RNA (253 nucleotides) under uncultured bacterium. RNAcentral's name for it is "partial 16S ribosomal RNA". It matches the Rfam family "Bacterial small subunit ribosomal RNA", at positions 524 to 776 of the family's 1533-position model. The record is from RNAcentral.